GUCUGUUAUAUCUGGUCUUUUUCUAGUUUAAUGCGCACUUUAUUGUACAAAAAAAGAUAACAUAAAACAUUCAUAAGUUCAAACAAAGUAAAUAAAAAAAGAGUUUUGAAGUUCCAAUUUACUGAUAAAACUAAAGUGUAUCAGUGAAGAGUUCAGAAUAAGGAUUAGAGGGUGUACCCUAACUUUGACUCCCCAUCCCCUUCCAAAAAAAAUAUGGGAUGUUUGACGAUUUAUAUGAUUGUUGAUCAUUGUUAUAUCGGGCGUAUGACAUUUGCGCCGAUUUUGAAAAUAUUCAUUCUUUCAUUUGCGCCGAUUUCAUUUUUUCAUUUGCGCCGAUUUUAUAUUUGCUUCUUAUUAGAUUUACAGGUAAGUUAAUACUUGUACAUGUACUAUGUACUGUACUAUACUAUUGGUAAAGUCUGGUUAUAAAUGCUGUUCAUUUAUGUUAAUUUUGAUUCAUAUUGUUCUGAAACUUCAUAGUAACAUGAUAGACAUAUUGCACACUGAAACGAGUCGAGGAGUCAAUUCUUUAAUCAUUGAGGG
RNAcentral lists this long non-coding RNA (543 nucleotides) under Mytilus galloprovincialis (Mediterranean mussel). The record is from RNAcentral. Lineage: Eukaryota; Metazoa; Mollusca; Bivalvia; Mytilida; Mytilidae.